AGCUGCCGCGGUAAUUCCAGCUCCAAUAGCGUAUAUUAAAGUUGUUGCAGUUAAAAAGCUCGUAGUUGAAUUUCGGGAUCAAUAUUUCGGUCAUGCCGUUGGUAUGCACUGUUAUCAUCGAUUUCUCACCUUCUAAAGAACCGUAAUGCCAUUAAUUUGGUGUUACGGGGAAUUAGGACUGUUACCUUGAAAAAAUUAGAGUGUUUAAAGCAGGCUCACGCUUGAAUACAUUAGCAUGGAAUAAUGAAAUAGGACAUCCGAUUCUAUUUUGUUGGUUUCUAGGAUCGAUGUAAUGAUUAAUAGGGAUAGUUGGGGGCAUUAGUAUUCAAUUGUCAGAGGUGAAAUUCUUGGAUUUAU
This 357-nucleotide ribosomal RNA is filed under the name uncultured Funneliformis. Its description in RNAcentral is "SSU rRNA". It matches the Rfam family "Eukaryotic small subunit ribosomal RNA", at positions 569 to 929 of the family's 1831-position model. The record is from RNAcentral. Lineage: Eukaryota; Fungi; Glomeromycota; Glomeromycetes; Glomerales; Glomeraceae.